CACCAUAGUCUGUUACAAUUGCAUAUGUAUUGAGUAAUUUAUUUAAAGGAACUGAUAUAUAAGAUACUUUCUAUGGUUCAAAUAAAAAUAAACUUAUAUAUUUAAUUUAAUUAAAAAUCAACAUAUUUAUAAGUUAUAAAUAUAUGCGUUAUAAGGUUUCAAAUGGUGAUCAUUGUCCCGUCGCGUCCCGCAGUUAACAGUAACAAAAACAUCUACAUUUACUAUAUAUCAAUACAUUUUUAUAACUGCUAGAACCGCACCGCAGUUGAACCGCUUGUCCCGCAUCGCUCAAAC
RNAcentral lists this long non-coding RNA (294 nucleotides) under Brassica napus (rape). Its description in RNAcentral is "long non-coding RNA (BNAP_LNC003362)". Lineage: Eukaryota; Viridiplantae; Streptophyta; Magnoliopsida; Brassicales; Brassicaceae. The record is from RNAcentral.